This 69-nucleotide antisense RNA is filed under the name Lentzea albida. RNAcentral's name for it is "ASpks TB sRNA". It matches the Rfam family "ASpks TB sRNA". Lineage: Bacteria; Bacillati; Actinomycetota; Actinomycetes; Pseudonocardiales; Pseudonocardiaceae. The record is from RNAcentral.
CUUGACCGACCCGAUCCACAGCGGCUCGGUGCGGUUCUGGCCGUAGGUGGCCAGCAGCGCCUGCGCCUC